GACGAACGCUGGCGGCGUGCUUAACACAUGCAAGUCGAACGGAAAGGCCCUGCUUUUGUGGGGUGCUCGAGUGGCGAACGGGUGAGUAACACGUGAGUAACCUGCCCUUGACUUUGGGAUAACUUCAGGAAACUGGGGCUAAUACCGGAUAGGAGCUCCUGCUGCAUGGUGGGGGUUGGAAAGUUUCGGCGGUUGGGGAUGGACUCGCGGCUUAUCAGCUUGUUGGUGGGGUAGUGGUUUACCAAGGCUUUGACGGGUAGCCGGCCUGAGAGGGGGACCGGCCACAUUGGGACUGAGGGACGGCCCAGACUCCAACGGGAGGCAGCAGUGGGGAAUAUUGCACAGUGGGCGGAAGCGUGAUGCAGCAACGCCGCGUGCGGGAUGACGGCCUUCGGGUUGUAAACCGCUUUCGCCUGUGACGAAGCGUGAGUGACGGUAAUGGGUAAAGAAGCACCGGCUAACUACGUG
This 468-nucleotide ribosomal RNA is filed under the name uncultured bacterium. RNAcentral describes it as "partial 16S ribosomal RNA". It matches the Rfam family "Bacterial small subunit ribosomal RNA", at positions 28 to 507 of the family's 1533-position model. The record is from RNAcentral.